GGGGGUGUACAGGUUUCGACUUGGAAAUAAACUAUUAAGCGCAUGCGGAGGAUGUCGGUUGGCCUCCUUAAAAAGCCGGCAAAAACCCUAAUUGGCACAUCUAAUGAGCCAAGCAGCAAAAUUGUAGCUGUUGAUUUCGCUCCUGUAGCGGCACCAGCACUAGAAAUGGCUGCUUAGUGUUGUCUGAGGCUUAACCGCUUUAGAUGAUCCGAUAGCUUGAGAUUGGACCGAGGGUUUCAAACCUAUCGUUAUUUUACUUGGUGUGAGCCUUUCCCCGUCCGUUUCUAGGGGAAAAAGCUCGAGAUUAAAUGGAACGACUCGGCUCUUGUGGUGCAUUCAACAACGGAGUCGAUGGAAUUUUGGAUGCUAAGCAUGUAGUGGUUACUAGGGAGUUUACCGAGGACGAGAGUUCGAUUCUCUCCACCUCCA
RNAcentral lists this transfer-messenger RNA (429 nucleotides) under Chlamydiota bacterium. RNAcentral's name for it is "Chlamydiae bacterium transfer-messenger RNA, SsrA". It matches the Rfam family "transfer-messenger RNA". Rfam says of the family: Bacterial tmRNA, also known as 10Sa RNA or SsrA, is named for its dual tRNA and mRNA-like properties. Its role is to liberate the mRNA from a stalled ribosome. RNAcentral also lists the same sequence under 1 other name. Lineage: Bacteria; Pseudomonadati; Chlamydiota. The record is from RNAcentral.